RNAcentral lists this ribosomal RNA (494 nucleotides) under uncultured bacterium. RNAcentral's name for it is "partial 16S ribosomal RNA". It matches the Rfam family "Bacterial small subunit ribosomal RNA", at positions 28 to 507 of the family's 1533-position model. The record is from RNAcentral.
GACGAACGCUGGCGGCGUGCUUAACACAUGCAAGUCGAACGGAAAGGCCUGCUUUCCCUUGUGGUUUGCGGUUACUCGAGUGGCAAACGGGUGAGUAACACGUGAGUGAUCUGCCCCCAACUUGGGUAUAAGCCUGGGAAACUGGGUCUAAUUCCCGAUAGGACUGCAGGGUGGUGCCUGUGGUGGAAAACGAUUUUCUAGUGGUUGGGGAUGAGCUCGCGGCCUAUCAGCUUGUUGGUGGGGUAAUGGCCUACCAAGGCGGCGACGGGUAGCCGGCCUGGGAGGGUGGACGGCCACAUUGGGACUGGGAUACGGCCCAGACUCCUACGGGAGGCAGCAGUGGGGAAUAUUGCACAAUGGGCGGAAGCCUGAUGCAGCGACGCCGCGUGGGGGAUGACGGCCUUCGGGUUGUAAACUCCUUUCGACCGCGAGGAAGCCACCUGGUUGGAAGGGUGGUGACGGUAGUGGUAGAAGAAGCACCGGCUAACUACGUG